Molecule: long non-coding RNA, 539 nt
Filed under: Struthio camelus australis
Lineage: Eukaryota; Metazoa; Chordata; Aves; Struthioniformes; Struthionidae
Description: lncRNA (ENSSCUG00000001872.1)
Source: RNAcentral
ACGCGCCCCAAAGCCUGCCACAAUGAGCACGAAUGAAGAUAAAAUCGAGGGGGAAAAGGGGCGCCUGGGUGGCAUUAAAAGCAUAAUUUGCAGAGGGUGAGGGGGGAGGUAAGGCUGGGCUCAAUCUGGUGCAGUAAUGAGCUGUAGAGCCGGGUGUCCUUGGUGGUGCAUUGACCCUGCUGGGGUGUCUUCCUUGGAAAUGGCAAGGACAGGGGUGUAUUGCAAGAACAAAGAUGCCCUUUUGAUGCUCUGCUGCAGCACUGGAGAUAAUGAAAGGGAGAGGAGCCUCGAUAAGGAUGAAAGAUAUCUUCCCUCGGCUUCCCCGCGCGGAUAAAGCACUUCCCAGAUGAAGAGGAUUUGGACUAAAAAGCAGCGCAAGAGUAAAACAAAGUAAACAGGGACCAGCGUUGCCGCGUUGACGUGGUCUCCUUCAGCUGGGCUUUGGGGUAAUGCCCCCGGCUGGGGUGGUCUGAGGGCACCCGUGGGAUGCUCGCGCAGCUCUGCUGGGCUGGAGGAGGAGGAGAAGGACAGCAGAUCCU